Long non-coding RNA from Pectinophora gossypiella (pink bollworm), 341 nucleotides. RefSeq lists it as uncharacterized. The record is from RefSeq and is a predicted model, not a curated record. The transcript has 2 exons. NCBI's taxonomy places the organism in Eukaryota, Metazoa, Arthropoda, Insecta, Lepidoptera, Gelechiidae.
UUGUAGCCACAUAGUCUUCAGUCUCCAAUCCUCCUCAUCAACAUGAAGUGCUUCAGCCUGAUGGUGGUGGUGUUGGCCGUACUGGCCAUGAUCAUGGGCGGAUCUCAAGCCGCGCCGGAGCCGCAACCAGCGGGGGCCAAGGGACUGCUGAAGGGCGCUAAAACCGUCCUGGGAGUCGUUGGAGCCGUCGGCACAGGAGCUGAGAUCAUCGACCGCAUCAAGAACAGACACGGAUGAGCAGCAUUUGCAUUAUUGUACAAUAACCAAAGAAUACCUUAUUUUGUAUCAUAAUUACCUACUCACUAGUCUUUGAUGGUAAUAAAAACAAUUUUACAAUUCUA